GACGAACCGUGCGAACGUUAUUCGGAAUCACUGGGCUUAAAGGGUGCGUAGGCGGGCCGUCUAGUCAGGGGUGAAAUCCUCCAGCUCAACUGGAGAAGUGCCUUUGAUACUGGCGGCCUCGAGGGAGGUAGGGGCGUGCGGAACUUCCGGUGGAGCGGUGAAAUGCGUAGAUAUCGGAAGGAACACCGGUGGCGAAAGCGGCGCGCUGGACCUCUUCUGACGCUGAGGCACGAAAGCCAGGGGAGCAAACGGG
RNAcentral lists this ribosomal RNA (253 nucleotides) under uncultured bacterium. RNAcentral describes it as "partial 16S ribosomal RNA". It matches the Rfam family "Bacterial small subunit ribosomal RNA", at positions 524 to 776 of the family's 1533-position model. The record is from RNAcentral.